GACGAACGCUGGCGGCGUGCCUAAUACAUGCAAGUAGAACGCACAGUUUAUACCGUAGCUUGCUACACCAUAGACUGUGAGUUGCGAACGGGUGAGUAACGCGUAGGUAACCUGCCUGGUAGCGGGGGAUAACUAUUGGAAACGAUAGCUAAUACCGCAUAAUAUUGAUUAUUGCAUGAUAAUUAAUUGAAAGGUGCAAUUGCACCACUACCAGAUGGACCUGCGUUGUAUUAGCUAGUAGGUGAGGUAACGGCUCACCUAGGCGACGAUACAUAGCCGACCUGAGAGGGUGAUCGGCCACACUGGGACUGAGACACGGCCCAGACUCCUACGGGAGGCAGCAGUAGGGAAUCUUCGGCAAUGGACGAAAGUCUGACCGAGCAACGCCGCGUGAGUGAAGAAGGUUUUCGGAUCGUAAAGCUCUGUUGUAAGAGAAGAACGGGUGUGAGAGUGGAAAGUUCACACUGUGACGGUAUCUUACCAGAAAGGGACGACUAACUACGUG
This 505-nucleotide ribosomal RNA is filed under the name uncultured bacterium. Its description in RNAcentral is "partial 16S ribosomal RNA". It matches the Rfam family "Bacterial small subunit ribosomal RNA", at positions 28 to 507 of the family's 1533-position model. The record is from RNAcentral.